RNAcentral lists this ribosomal RNA (200 nucleotides) under uncultured bacterium. Its description in RNAcentral is "partial 16S ribosomal RNA". It matches the Rfam family "Bacterial small subunit ribosomal RNA", at positions 1300 to 1500 of the family's 1533-position model. The record is from RNAcentral.
GAAGGCUGAAAUUCGCCUUCAUGAAGCCGGAAUUGCUAGUAAUGGCAGGUCAGCAUACUGCCGUGAAUACGUUCCCGGGCCUUGUACACACCGCCCGUCACACCAUGAGAGUUGGGAAUACCCGAAGCCUGUGAGCUAACGUUAAGAGGCAGCAGUCGAAGGUAGAAUCAAUGAUUGGGGUGAAGUCGUAACAAGGUAAC